Molecule: ribosomal RNA, 253 nt
Filed under: uncultured bacterium
Lineage: Bacteria
Description: partial 16S ribosomal RNA
Rfam family: Bacterial small subunit ribosomal RNA
Source: RNAcentral
UACGUAGGGAGCAAGCGUUGUUCGGAUUUACUGGGCGUAAAGGGCGCGUAGGCGGCCUGUCAAGUCAACUGUGAAAUCUCCGGGCUUAACUCGGAACGGUCAGUUGAUACUGUCAGGCUAGAGUGCAGAAAGGGCAAUCGGAAUUCUUGGUGUAGCGGUGAAAUUCGUAGAUAUUGGGAAGAACACCGAUGGCGAAGGCAGCCAUCUGGACCGACACUGACGCUGAGGCGCGAAAGCGUGGGGAGCGAACAGG